GACCAGACUCCUACGGGAGGCAGCAGUGGGGAAUAUUGCACAAUGGGGGAAACCCUGAUGCAGCGACGCCGCGUGAGUGAAGAAGUAUUUCGGUAUGUAAAGCUCUAUCAGCAGGGAAGAAGUUGACGGUACCUGAGUAAGAAGCCCCGGCUAACUACGUGCCAGCAGCCGCGGUAAUACGUAGGGGGCAAGCGUUAUCCGGAUUUACUGGGUGUAAAGGGAGCGUAGACGGCAGUGUAAGUCUGAAGUGAAAGCCCCGGGCUUAACCCGGGAAUUGCUUUGGAAACUGUACGGCUGGAGUGCUGGAGAGGUAAGCGGAAUUCCUAGUGUAGCGGUGAAAUGCGUAGAUAUUAGGAGGAACACCAGUGGCGAAGGCGGCUUACUGGACAGUAACUGACGUUGAGGCUCGAAAGCGUGGGGAGCAAACAGGAUUAGAUACCCUUGUAC
This 447-nucleotide ribosomal RNA is filed under the name uncultured bacterium. RNAcentral's name for it is "bacterial SSU rRNA". It matches the Rfam family "Bacterial small subunit ribosomal RNA", at positions 329 to 793 of the family's 1533-position model. The record is from RNAcentral.